This 1293-nucleotide ribosomal RNA is filed under the name Octospora sp. 'coccinea agg.'. RNAcentral's name for it is "SSU rRNA". It matches the Rfam family "Eukaryotic small subunit ribosomal RNA", at positions 88 to 1408 of the family's 1831-position model. The record is from RNAcentral. Lineage: Eukaryota; Fungi; Ascomycota; Pezizomycetes; Pezizales; Pyronemataceae.
UGCGAACGGCUCAUUAAAUCAGUUAUCGUUUAUUUGAUAGUGAUCUUAUUUACUUGGAUAACCGUGGUAAUUCUAGAGCUAAUACAUGCUUAAAAUCCCGACCUCUGGAAGGGAUGUAUUUAUUAGAUAAAAAACCAAUGCUCUUUUGGGCUUCUUGGUGAUUCAUGAUAACUUAACGAAUCACAUGGCCUUGUGUCGGUGAUGGUUCAUUCAAAUUUCUGCCCUAUCAACUUUCGAUGGUAGGAUAGUGGCCUACCAUGGUUUCAACGGGUAACGGGGAAUUAGGGUUCGAUUCCGGAGAGGGAGCCUGAGAAACGGCUACCACAUCCAAGGAAGGCAGCAGGCGCGCAAAUUACCCAAUCCCGACUCGGGGAGGUAGUGACAAGAAAUACUGAUACAGGGCCCAUCUGGGUCUUGUAAUUGGAAUGAGUACAAUUUAAAGCCUUUAACGAGGAACAAUUGGAGGGCAAGUCUGGUGCCAGCAGCCGCGGUAAUUCCAGCUCCAAUAGCGUAUAUUAAAGUUGUUGCAGUUAAAAAGCUCGUAGUUGAACUUUGGGUCUGGGCGACCGGUCCCCCGAUUUGGGUGUGUACUGGAAACCCGGAUCUUUCCUUCUGGAGAACCUCAUGCCCUUCAUUGGGUGUGUUGGGGAACUAGGACUUUUACUUUGAAAAAAUUAGAGUGUUCAAAGCAGGCUUUUGCUCGAAUACAUUAGCAUGGAAUAAUAAAAUAGGACGUGCGGUUCUAUUUUGUUGGUUUCUAGGACCGCCGUAAUGAUUAAUAGGGAUAGUCGGGGGCAUCCGUAUUCGAUUGUCAGAGGUGAAAUUCUUGGAUUUUUCGAAGACGAACUACUGCGAAAGCAUUUGCCAAGGAUGUUUUCAUUAAUCAGGAACGAAAGUUGAGGGAUCGAAGACGAUCAGAUACCGUCGUAGUCUCAACCAUAAACUAUGCCGACUAGGAAUCGGGCGAUGUUUUCAAUUUGACUCGCUCGGCACCUUACGAGAAAUCAAAGUUUUUGGGUUCUGGGGGGAGUAUGGUCGCAAGGCUGAAACUUAAAGGAAUUGACGGAAGGGCACCACCAGGAGUGGAGCCUGCGGCUUAAUUUGACUCAACACGGGGAAACUCACCAGGUCCAGACACAUUAAGGAUUGACAGAUUGAGAGCUCUUUCUUGAUUAUGUGGGUGGUGGUGCAUGGCCGUUCUUAGUUGGUGGAGUGAUUUGUCUGCUUAAUUGCGAUAACGAACGAGACCUUAACCUGCUAAAUAGCCGGGUUCGCGUUUGCGAGAUUCUGGCU